AGCAGCCGCGGUAAUUCCAGCUCCAAUAGCGUAUAUUAAAGUUGUUGCAGUUAAAAAGCUCGUAGUUGAAUUUCGGGAUUGACACAUCGGUCGUGCCUUAAGGGGUAUGAACUGGUGUAGUCAAUUUCUCACCUUCUGGAGAACCGCGAUGCCCUUAAUUGGGUGUCGCGGGGAACCAGGACCUUUACUUUGAAAAAAUUAGAGUGUUUAAAGCAGGCAUUUUGCUUGAAUACAUUAGCAUGGAAUAAUAAAAUAGGACGGCAUGAUUCUAUUUUGUUGGUUUCUAGGAUCACCGUAAUGAUUAAUAGGGAUAGUUGGGGGCAUUAGUAUUCAAUUGUCAGAGGUGAAAUUCUUGGAUUUUAUUGAAGACUAACUACUGCGAAAGCAUUUGCCAAGGAUGUUUUCAUUAAUCAAGAACGAAAGUUAGGGGAUCGAAGACGAUCAGAUACCGUCGUAGUCUUAACCAUAAA
This 470-nucleotide ribosomal RNA is filed under the name uncultured Entrophospora. RNAcentral's name for it is "SSU rRNA". It matches the Rfam family "Eukaryotic small subunit ribosomal RNA", at positions 569 to 1036 of the family's 1831-position model. Lineage: Eukaryota; Fungi; Glomeromycota; Glomeromycetes; Entrophosporales; Entrophosporaceae. The record is from RNAcentral.